RNAcentral lists this ribosomal RNA (197 nucleotides) under uncultured bacterium. RNAcentral's name for it is "partial 16S ribosomal RNA". It matches the Rfam family "Bacterial small subunit ribosomal RNA", at positions 335 to 524 of the family's 1533-position model. The record is from RNAcentral.
ACUCCUACGGGAGGCAGCAGUGGGGAAUAUUGCACAAUGGGCGAAAGCCUGAUGCAGCCAUGCCGCGUGUAUGAAGAAGGCCUUCGGGUUGUAAAGUACUUUCAGUCGUGAGGAAGGGUGUGUAGUUAAUAGCUGCAUAUCUUGACGUUAGCGACAGAAGAAGCACCGGCUAACUCCGUGCCAGCAGCCGCGGUAAU